This 467-nucleotide ribosomal RNA is filed under the name uncultured bacterium. RNAcentral describes it as "partial 16S ribosomal RNA". It matches the Rfam family "Bacterial small subunit ribosomal RNA", at positions 28 to 506 of the family's 1533-position model. The record is from RNAcentral.
GACGAACGCUGGCGGCGUGCUUAACACAUGCAAGUCGAACGGAAAGGCCCUGCUUUUGUGGGGUGCUCGAGUGGCGAACGGGUGAGUAACACGUGAGUAACCUGCCCUUGACUUUGGGAUAACUUCAGGAAACUGGGGCUAAUACCGGAUAGGAGCUCCUGCUGCAUGGUGGGGGUUGGAAAGUUUCGGCGGUUGGGGAUGGACUCGCGGCUUAUCAGCUUGUUGGUGGGGUAGUGGCUUACCAAGGCUUUGACGGGUAGCCGGCCUGAGAGGGUGACCGGCCACAUUGGGACUGGGAUACGGCCCAGACCCCUCCGGGGGGAAGGAGGGGGGAAUAUGGCACAAGGGGCGGAAGCCUGAGGCAGCAACGCCUGGUGCGGGAUGACGGCUUUCGGGUUUUAAACCGCUUUCGCCUGUGACGAAGCGGGGGUGACGGUAAUGGGUAAAGAAGCACCGGCUAACUACGU